GUAGGUGAACCUGCAGAAGGAUCAUUAUUGAAAUAAACCUGAUGGGUUGUUGCUGGUUCUCUAGGGAGCAUGUGCACGCCUUGUCAUCUUUAUAUCUCCACCUGUGCACCUUUUGUAGGCCUUCCAGGUCUAUGUUGCUUUUUCAUUUACCCCAAUGUAUGUUAAUAGAAUGUUGUGCAUAUAUUAAAAAUCUAUACAACUUUCAGCAACGGAUCUCUUGGCUCUC
This 226-nucleotide unclassified non-coding RNA is filed under the name rhizosphere metagenome. RNAcentral describes it as "partial ribosomal RNA internal transcribed spacer region". The record is from RNAcentral.